This 512-nucleotide ribosomal RNA is filed under the name uncultured Gammaproteobacteria bacterium. RNAcentral's name for it is "bacterial SSU rRNA". It matches the Rfam family "Bacterial small subunit ribosomal RNA", at positions 1 to 510 of the family's 1533-position model. Lineage: Bacteria; Pseudomonadati; Pseudomonadota; Gammaproteobacteria. The record is from RNAcentral.
GCCCUUAGAGUUUGAUCCUGGCUCAGAUUGAACGCUGGCGGCAUGCUCAACACAUGCAAGUCGAACGCGAAAGGGUUUCGGCCUGAGUAGAGUGGCGGACGGGUGAGUAACGCGUGGGAAUCUGCCCUGUAGUGGGGGAUAACCCGGGGAAACUCGGGCUAAUACCGCAUAUUUCCUAUGGGAGAAAGGGGGCCUCUGCUUGCAUGCUCUUGCUACGGGAUGAGCCCACGUCCGAUUAGCUUGUUGGUGGGGUAAAGGCCUACCAAGGCGACGAUCGGUAGCUGGUCUGAGAGGAUGAUCAGCCACACUGGGACUGAGACACGGCCCAGACUCCUACGGGAGGCAGCAGUGGGGAAUAUUGGACAAUGGGCGCAAGCCUGAUCCAGCAAUGCCGCGUGUGUGAAGAAGGCCUGCGGGUUGUAAAGCACUUUCGGUGGGGAAGAAAGGUCUGGGGUGAAUAGCCUUGGGCUGUGACGUUACCCACAGAAGAAGCACCGGCUAACUCCGUGCCA